Molecule: ribosomal RNA, 393 nt
Filed under: uncultured bacterium
Lineage: Bacteria
Description: partial 16S ribosomal RNA
Rfam family: Bacterial small subunit ribosomal RNA
Source: RNAcentral
AUACGGAGGAUCCGAGCGUUAUCCGGAUUUAUUGGGUUUAAAGGGAGCGUAGGCGGACGCUUAAGUCAGUUGUGAAAGUUUGCGGCUCAACCGUAAAAUUGCAGUUGAUACUGGGUGUCUUGAGUACAGUAGAGGCAGGCGGAAUUCGUGGGGUAGCGGUGAAAUGCUUAGAUAUCACGAAGAACUCCGAUUGCGAAGGCAGCCUGCUGGACUGUAACUGACGCUGAUGCUCGAAAGUGUGGGUAUCAAACAGGAUUAGAUACCCUGGUAGUCCACACAGUAAACGAUGAAUACUCGCUGUUUGCGAUAUACAGUAAGCGGCCAAGCGAAAGCGUUAAGUAUUCCACCUGGGGAGUACGCCGGCAACGGUGAAACUCAAAGGAAUCGACGGGG